This is a small RNA of Citrobacter koseri ATCC BAA-895, 89 nucleotides long. It matches the Rfam family "isrB Hfq binding RNA". The record is from Rfam. NCBI's taxonomy places the organism in Bacteria, Pseudomonadati, Pseudomonadota, Gammaproteobacteria, Enterobacterales, Enterobacteriaceae.
AAUGGCACCUCGGUUUUACCAGGUAGAAAUGUCCGGUUCGCUUUGGUCGGUGACGCCGGACGGGCAGGCCCACUUCGUGUGGGCUUUUG